RNAcentral lists this ribosomal RNA (393 nucleotides) under uncultured bacterium. Its description in RNAcentral is "partial 16S ribosomal RNA". It matches the Rfam family "Bacterial small subunit ribosomal RNA", at positions 523 to 918 of the family's 1533-position model. The record is from RNAcentral.
AUACGGAGGAUCCGAGCGUUAUCCGGAUUUAUUGGGUUUAAAGGGUGCGCAGGCGGGAGAUUAAGUCGGCGGUGAAAUUUUGCAGCUCAACUGUAAAAGUGCCUUCGAAACUGGUUUCCUUGAGUGUAGAUGAAGUAGGCGGAAUUUGUGGUGUAGCGGUGAAAUGCAUAGAUAUCACGAGGAACUCCGAUUGCGCAGGCAGCUUACUAAACUACUACUGACGCUCAGGCACGAAGGCGUGGGGAUCAAACAGGAUUAGAUACCCUGGUAGUCCACGCAGUAAACGAUGAUUACUAGCUGUUUGCGAUACAAUGUAAGCGGCUGAGCGAAAGCGUUAAGUAGUCCACCUGGGGAGUACGUCCGCAAGAAUGAAACUCAAAUGAAUUGACGGGG